AGAACAUUUUUGGCAGCUGGAAAUGUUCCUGCCUACCAGUCUGUCACAGACGGCAUGUGCCAUGGGCUACCAGCACUGAGCAACUCUCUCAGGAAGAGCAUUUUUGCCUCACAGCUCAGCCUGCCCCAGCCACUGGAUCCACGGAGCCUCCAGGCAUUUGAGCUGUUUCCUUGGAGAGCAUUUCUGGAAGAUGGAGGACCAUUCCCAGUUAUGAGUAACAGCCCAGAUACCCUAGAAUAUAAUAUGCAGGUAGGAUAGGUCUUCUCCAUUGUUGCAGAGAGAACUGAG
This 288-nucleotide long non-coding RNA is filed under the name Homo sapiens (human). RNAcentral's name for it is "non-protein coding lnc-CEP57L1-4:4". The record is from RNAcentral. Lineage: Eukaryota; Metazoa; Chordata; Mammalia; Primates; Hominidae.